GAUGAAGAACGUAGCGAAAUGCGAUACGUAGUGUGAAUUGCAGAAUUCAGUGAAUCAUCGAAUCUUUGAACACACAUUGCACCUCUCGGUAUUCCGGGAGGUAUGCCUGUUCGAGCGUCAUUUGUACCCUCAAGCUCUGCUUGGUGUUGGGUGUUUGUUCCGCCUCUGUGUGUGAACUCGCCUCAAAACAAUUGGCAGCCGGCGUACUUGUUUCGGAGCGCAGCACAUUUUGCGAUCCAGAUCAACGUACAGCGGCAUCCAAGAAGCCUUAUUUAACGCUCUUGACCUCGGAUCAGGUAGGGAUACCCGCUGAACUUAAGCAUAUCAAUAAGCGGAGGA
RNAcentral lists this unclassified non-coding RNA (339 nucleotides) under soil metagenome. RNAcentral describes it as "partial contains 5.8S ribosomal RNA, internal transcribed spacer 2, and large subunit ribosomal RNA". The stretch from base 1 to 120 matches the Rfam family "5.8S ribosomal RNA", at positions 35 to 154 of the family's 154-position model. The record is from RNAcentral.